Molecule: long non-coding RNA, 1101 nt
Organism: Lineus longissimus
Lineage: Eukaryota; Metazoa; Nemertea; Pilidiophora; Heteronemertea; Lineidae
Exons: 3
Source: RefSeq, a predicted model, not a curated record
GUCGUCUAAACGGCCCUACUGAAAGGUGACCUCGAAUCAUCUUUCGUAGCAGUCCGUGUCAACCUGGAUGAGUGACAAGCAAGAUGGUGUCCAAUAAGUGGAUAAUUAUAUGGAUUGCACUCUUUAAUCUACUUAUAGACAAAGCUUUCGGAGGCAUCUACUAUGAAGGACUGACUGGUACCAAUCUUUCCUGCUACACGUGUAAGGAAAGUUACAAAAUCACGCCAUACGACCCAACAGCCCACACCUGCCAGUCAAACCUUCCCAAAGUAGACAUCAUCUCCUGCGGCAUGAAAGAUAAAUACUGCAAGGUUGAGAGGGUCGAGCUUCAUGGCGUGAAGAUCAGCAUUGAAAGAAGCUGUACGGACACAUGUUACUAUGGAUGUAAGUUCCAAGGAUACGGAUUGACCUAUCUGAAAUGUACGUCGUGCUGUAGAGGACAUGCGUGCAACACAGACAGCCACGGAGUGAUUAUCACGCCAAGUUUAUUUCUUUAUGUGAUGAUGAUUUUAAUUGCUACAUUUAUAAUCCGAGGAUGAACGAUAAGUCCGUAUCAUUUGAAUCGUGCCUAAACUUGUUUAUGAAUGACAACAGAGUGUGAGUACACAGAAGGACAUACUAGUUCUGGUGAUUUGUUUUCUCUCUUAAUACAGCCCGGCUGCAAAUUUAGGGCAAUGGCGUUAAAAGUUAGAACUGGGACAAUCACGAACCCAAGGGUUUUGUAAUUUUGACGCGAGUUGUUUACUACGUUGAACACUAAAGAUCUGAUUUCACUGCAGUGGUUUGCCGUGGCGUCAAAGUUUUUCCGCUUUCACGAGCUUUGUGGUCAGUUUCAUUCCGCUUUCGCGGCUGUAUGUACUUGCAAGCAAUAGUAUAGUUAUGCACUCUUUACCAGUGUCUCAGAUAAGAAGGAUUGGGUUAAUGUUGUCAAGUGUUGAGUAACGAAAAAUACUCGAUGCUGAGGGAAACCACAGUUCCACACACUGCCUUCUAUUGGUGAUUCAUAGUAAAACAUGGUCGAUCAAUUAUAUAUAUAUACAUAACCAGUGGAUAUCAUAAAAGGUUCAUGAAACCGAGUUUAACAAUAUGCCUAUUGGCAAU